Rhincodon typus (whale shark) is the source of this 565-nucleotide long non-coding RNA. RefSeq lists it as uncharacterized. NCBI's taxonomy places the organism in Eukaryota, Metazoa, Chordata, Chondrichthyes, Orectolobiformes, Rhincodontidae. The record is from RefSeq and is a predicted model, not a curated record. The transcript is spliced from 3 exons.
CUUUCCACUGCCUUCUCCAUUCUCCUCCCACUUCUCCCCCCACUGCCCUCCCAACACCUACCCAUUCACGUUUCUACCUCUGCCCCAUCGAAUCUCCAAAACUCUUUCAGACGAAUACAAGCGAAUUUGAAUGAGAAUUGCUGUAAAAUAGAAUAGCUCGCUUCAACUGGUGGAAGUCUAACCUUGGUUUAAAACAGGCGCCUUAAAGGGCCGGUGGAAUCGUGGCAAGGAAAAUGCACCGGAAGAUGGAGCUGCUCCGAUGAGGGGAGCGAUUACCCGCCAAGUGUUGGAGUUUCAACGCCCGAUUAGAUGAACAAAAGUGCUGAGGAAUAAAGGACCACCGCUUAAUCGACACGACGCUUUGAGUUUCAAAAGAACGCUCGCCAGGGAUGUAAGCAUUAGCUACAACAAAACAAAAAGAAAUUCAAUCAUUACAAAUGUUGCCUGGAAAUCGUUUCUCUUUAUUGUGGUCCGAUCACCUCCUAGAAAAGAUAGCCUUUAAUUAGGUUUUUUUUCGCGUACGUGUAGAAAGCAUUAAUAAUCUUCAUGUGAAUUUUAUUGAAUU